This 74-nucleotide microRNA precursor is filed under the name Dufourea novaeangliae. RNAcentral describes it as "mir-87 microRNA precursor family". It matches the Rfam family "mir-87 microRNA precursor family". The record is from Rfam by way of RNAcentral. Lineage: Eukaryota; Metazoa; Arthropoda; Insecta; Hymenoptera; Halictidae.
UACAGGCGGGCCUGACUCUUUGCUCUACCCGUACCUCCUCCUCUGGGUGAGCAAAGUUUCAGGUGUGUCGGUGG